UCGGUUGGAUCGCCUCCUUGACCAUGGAUACGGGGACUCUCGUUGUCCGAGCGACAGGUGCGCUCACGCAACGCAAGGCACGCACAAGGACCGAUGCACGCCACAACGUACGCCCAACGAGAGCUACACCUCAUUUCUCUACUCUCGCGUUCGUACACCAUCGCGAUCCCAACUACCGCAUCAUAUUCAUACAUACAUUUAUCUACGCGCCGAUCGAUCGACCGGUCGCUGUCGAAGCUGCCGGCCCCGGCCACCUCCGGUUGCGGGCCGGCCAUGGACAGCAGCCGCCACGACCACGCGCGCGCUCCCUUCCUUCCUUGUUAGCGAGGUCAAACGGCAUGCGCGUAUAAAGAUCCCGUCCAUGGCCGCGGUCGAUUGGAGGUU
Molecule: long non-coding RNA, 384 nt
Filed under: Hordeum vulgare
Lineage: Eukaryota; Viridiplantae; Streptophyta; Magnoliopsida; Poales; Poaceae
Description: long non-coding RNA (HVUL_LNC002226)
Source: RNAcentral